RNAcentral lists this small RNA (29 nucleotides) under Bombyx mori (domestic silkworm). RNAcentral describes it as "ovarian small RNA-18262". The record is from RNAcentral. Lineage: Eukaryota; Metazoa; Arthropoda; Insecta; Lepidoptera; Bombycidae.
UAAAGAAAUGUUUAUCCAACCGAACGUGU